AUGCAUUUGUUCUCUCUCAUCUGUGUGGAGCAAGUAAUUCAAGUAAUUAUGCUACUUUUAUUUGUUUUUUCAGAAUUUCAUGGGGGAACUAACAGACCAAGAAGGAGACAAAGAGGAGAAAAGUGCAGGAUGAGAACUGUGCUCCUAACAUAUAGAAAGAUUGUACAGCGUCGUGUCCAUGAACUUCCAGGGUUCGCAUUAAAAUCUGACAGAACAUCAGAGUGCCAGAAGCUUCUCAUAUUGUGGCUCUGGAGAGCCUUGCUGUCUGGCACUCCAGGAGAACACUUGAGGAAUUCGUGCUCCAGGAGUAGGUAUGUGAUUUCUUGAUGAAAUGGGGAGCCAGCU
RNAcentral lists this long non-coding RNA (345 nucleotides) under Phasianus colchicus (ring-necked pheasant). RNAcentral's name for it is "lncRNA (ENSPCLG00000020802.1)". The record is from RNAcentral. Lineage: Eukaryota; Metazoa; Chordata; Aves; Galliformes; Phasianidae.